Molecule: ribosomal RNA, 114 nt
Filed under: Bifidobacterium longum subsp. longum
Lineage: Bacteria; Bacillati; Actinomycetota; Actinomycetes; Bifidobacteriales; Bifidobacteriaceae
Description: partial 23S ribosomal RNA
Source: RNAcentral
CAUUCCGUGGAACCUUCGAGUUCCUGUAGUCCCCAUGCAGAACACGUGGUCGAUAGGCCGGACGUGGAAGCCCCGCGAGGGGUGGAGCCGACCGGUACUAACGGACGAAAGGCA